AACAUGCAAGUCGAACGGCAGCACAGAAGAGCUUGCUCUUUGGUGGCGAGUGGCGGACGGGUGAGUAAUGUCUGGGAAACUGCCCGAUGGAGGGGGAUAACUACUGGAAACGGUAGCUAAUACCGCAUAACGUCGCAAGACCAAAGUGGGGGACCUUCGGGCCUCACACCAUCGGAUGUGCCCAGAUGGGAUUAGCUAGUAGGUGGGGUAAUGGCUCACCUAGGCGACGAUCCCUAGCUGGUCUGAGAGGAUGACCAGCCACACUGGAACUGAGACACGGUCCAGACUCCUACGGGAGGCAGCAGUGGGGAAUAUUGCACAAUGGGCGCAAGCCUGAUGCAGCCAUGCCGCGUGUAUGAAGAAGGCCUUCGGGUUGUAAAGUACUUUCAGCGGGGAGGAAGGCGGUGAGGUUAAUAACCUCGCCGAUUGACGUUACCCGCAGAAGAAGCACCGGCUAACUCCGUGCCAGCAGCCGCGGUAAUACGGAGGGUGCAAGCGUUAAUCGGAAUUACUGGGCGUAAAGCGCACGCAGGCGGUCUGUUAAGUCAGAUGUGAAAUCCCCGGGCUUAACCUGGGAACUGCAUUUGAAACUGGCAGGCUUGAGUCUCGUAGAGGGGGGUAGAAUUCCAGGUGUAGCGGUGAAAUGCGUAGAGAUCUGGAGGAAUACCGGUGGCGAAGGCGGCCCCCUGGACGAAGACUGACGCUCAGGUGCGAAAG
RNAcentral lists this ribosomal RNA (717 nucleotides) under Pantoea dispersa. RNAcentral's name for it is "bacterial SSU rRNA". It matches the Rfam family "Bacterial small subunit ribosomal RNA", at positions 52 to 759 of the family's 1533-position model. The record is from RNAcentral. Lineage: Bacteria; Pseudomonadati; Pseudomonadota; Gammaproteobacteria; Enterobacterales; Erwiniaceae.